CCAUAGGACGCAUAAACAAGAGUGGAAAAAGCAAGAGAAGACUUGCUAACUCGAGAUGGUGCUUACCAAGAGGAACGCAUGGGUCGUUUGCUUGGUAGUUCUUGUGGUCAUGGCCACAACCCUGCCCUUGUCGGCUUCAAAAGGUUACUGUCUAUUUGUUUUUUGGCUUGACAAUCCAUAGAUACUAAUCUCUUUGUACCUUAAUAUAAUACAUUGUUUGACACUAUAACAGUGUCAAAAUACGUCUUAUAUGCAGUAAUAAAGAGAGAGUAUGUUCUGUUUCUACUGUCCAUGUACAUAGAACCGUAUACAGGAAUUUGAAUGUUUAACCACUUUUUGCAGAGAAGAGGUGCUAUGAUAUGCCAGAUUGCUAUGAUCAGCGUUGCCGUGAAGAAUGUGUUGCAGCCGGUAUCGGCGACACAGGACACUGCAGAUUUUUUGUAGAAUGUUGUUGCAAUGUUUAGAAGAUAGCUCAAAACGCUUAUUUUGCCAGAAUAUGUACUGGUGAGAUGGUAAAAUUUGAUAUUAAAUAACUUUGAUAAAUAAUUUAUCUGGAUGGAUGUGAUAAAAAAGGUCGGUAAUUCCUUCUAAUAAAUACUCCGGCCGGCCCGGAAUUAGUUUAUGCUCAGACGGAUGUUUC
Molecule: long non-coding RNA, 640 nt
Filed under: Hordeum vulgare
Lineage: Eukaryota; Viridiplantae; Streptophyta; Magnoliopsida; Poales; Poaceae
Description: long non-coding RNA (HVUL_LNC017328)
Source: RNAcentral